UGAAUACGAGAUGCUACGGCGUCGAAGCAGUCUAUGUCAUACUUCCAAGAAAAGCUCGCACUGUCAUAAACAAAUAAUGCCUGUACCAUAACCGACACAGGUGGGUAGGUAGAGUAUACUAAGGGGCGCGAGAUAACUCUCUCUAAGGAACUCGGCAAAAUGACUCCGUAACUUCGGGAGAAGGAGUGCCUUAUUUAUAAGGUUGCAAUAACAAGAUCCAAGCAACUGUUUAUCAAAAACACAGGUCUCCGCUAAGUCGUAAGACGAUGUAUGGGGGCUGACGCCUGCCCAGUGCCAGAAGGUUAAAGAAGUUGGUUAGCAUUCGCGAAGCUGAUAACUGAAGCCCUGGUGAACGGCGGCCGUAACUAUAACGGUCCUAAGGUAGCGAAAUUCCUUGUCGGGUAAGUUCCGACCCGCACGAAAGGCGUAAUGAUUUGGAUACUGUCUCGGAGAGGGGCUCGGUGAAAUAGACUUGUCUGUGAAGAUGCGGACUACCUGCACCAGGACAGAAAGACCCUAUGAAGCUUUACUGUAACUUGAGAUUGAAAUUGGACUUUACUUGCGCAGUAUAGGUGGGAGGCGUUGAUAAUAUUCUUGCGGGAUUAUUUGAGCCAUCAGUGAGAUACCACUCUUGUAAUGUUAGAUUUCUAACUUUGUAUCAUUAUCUGGUCAAAGGACAGUUUCAGGCGGGCAGUUUGACUGGGGCGGUCGCCUCCUAAACGGUAACGGAGGCGCACAAAGGUUUCCUCUGAACGGGUAGAAAUCGUAUCUAGAGUGUAAAGGCAUAAGGAAGCUUGACUGUGAGACCUACAAGUCGAGCAGGGACGAAAGUCGGUCUUAGUGAUCUGACGGUGCUGAGUGGAAAGGCCGUCACUCAACGGAUAAAAGUUACUCUAAGGAUAACAGGCUGAUCUCCCCCAAGAGUUCACAUCGACGGGGAGGUUUGGCACCUCGAUGUCGGCUCAUCGCAUCCUGGGGCGGUAGUACGUCCCAAGGGUUGGGCUGUUCGCCCAUGAAAGCGGUACGCGAGCUGGGUUCAGAACGUCAUGAGACAGUUCGGUCCAUAUCCGGUGUAGGCGUUAGAAUAUUGAGAGGAGCCUUCUUUAGUACGAGAGGACCGAGAAGGACAUACCUCUGGUGUACCAGUUAUCGUGCCAACGGUAAACGCUGGGUAGCUAUGUAUGGAGUGGAUAACCGCUGAAAGCAUCUAAGUGGGAAGCCCACCUCAAGAUAAGUAUUCUCAUC
Molecule: ribosomal RNA, 1245 nt
Filed under: metagenome
Description: bacterial LSU rRNA
Rfam family: Bacterial large subunit ribosomal RNA
Source: RNAcentral